This is a long non-coding RNA of Ochotona princeps (American pika), 806 nucleotides long. RefSeq lists it as uncharacterized. The transcript is spliced from 3 exons. Lineage: Eukaryota; Metazoa; Chordata; Mammalia; Lagomorpha; Ochotonidae. The record is from RefSeq and is a predicted model, not a curated record.
CUUGUAAUUUGGAGGGGUGAAAAGUUGCUGUUAAUGGAACUUGAGAAACACUGUGGUAAGCAUUCUGUAAUCCUAUGAUAAGACCUCAGAAUUCAGCUUUCCACAUGCAGUUUCCAUGGCUGGGGACACCCUUUCUCUUUUCCACUUGCGAAACACCUCCUCAUCAUUCUAGAUGAAGCUCAGAUGGGACCUCACCUGGCUCUUCCCUGUGGCCCUCUGUGUGUAUUCCAGGGCCAGAUCUUAUUCUCUUCUCUACGAACAGAAAGCCUAGUCUGGUGUUUGACAUAUGGCUACCGGAUUAAGAUCACAUUUCCCAAACUCCCCUCAUAGGCAUGGCUUUGUGACAAGUUCUAGAUGUGUGAGUUCAACUUCCAGAACAAUCUUUGUCCCCUCCUUAUUAAAGGUGGAACUGGUGGCUGGAUAAUCCCCCUGAGAUGUGAGAGUACAGAUGCCUCUCUGGGCUGGUAGUUCAGAAAAGCUACAGUUAUCUUGUGUGACUAUGGACUCCGCUAUCCCAAAGUACCUCAAUGCAGACUUUCAGGCAUCAGGGUUAUACUUUAGGUAGUUAGAAUCUCUGUUACAGCAGACAAAUAUAAAUCCAAGUGGACCAGAAUUUGAUGCUUAAUGGCUGGAUUUUAACUGUGACAAAAUGUAAAAUAUGAGUGCUCAAGUUUCAGAUAACAGAAGCUAGUUUUUGACUUUUGGGCUGUGACAAAGCAUAUAUUGUUGUAAUGUACUAAAGGAAAGAGUGUGCUAUGCACAAUGUUAGGGAAAUUGUUAGAGACUGUUGAAGACAUUGUUUUAUG